CUGUUCUACAGAGUCAUAUCUGUGGCUUCCUGUCUUUUAACACAUGAAGAAUUGGAGGCAAAGAAAUGAGUACUUAGAGAAGUCUGGGACCAGCAUGUUCCCUGUAGGCUCAAGGUCAACCGUCCUUGUAGA
Oryctolagus cuniculus (rabbit) is the source of this 132-nucleotide small nucleolar RNA. Lineage: Eukaryota; Metazoa; Chordata; Mammalia; Lagomorpha; Leporidae. The record is from Ensembl.